AACGAACGCUGGCGGCAUGCCUAACACAUGCAAGUCGAACGAGACCUUCGGGUCUAGUGGCGCACGGGUGCGUAACGCGUGGGAACCUGCCUUUAGGUUCGGAAUCACUCAGAGAAAUUUGAGCUAAUACCGGAUGAUGUCUUCGGACCAAAGAUUUAUCGCCUUUAGAUGGGCGCGCGUUGGAUUAGCUAGUUGGUGGGGUAAAGGCCUACCAAGGCGACGAUCCAUAGCUGGUCUGAGAGGAUGAUCAGCCACACUGGGACUGAGACACGGCCCAGACUCCUACGGGAAGCAGCAGUGGGGAAUAUUGGACAAUGCGCGAAAGCCUGACCCAGCAAUGCCGCGUGAGUGAUGAAGGCCUUAGGGUUGUAAAGCUCUUUUACCCGAGAUGAUAAUGACAGUAUCGGGAGAAUAAGCUCCGGCUAACUACGUG
RNAcentral lists this ribosomal RNA (433 nucleotides) under uncultured bacterium. Its description in RNAcentral is "partial 16S ribosomal RNA". It matches the Rfam family "Bacterial small subunit ribosomal RNA", at positions 29 to 507 of the family's 1533-position model. The record is from RNAcentral.